RNAcentral lists this ribosomal RNA (1254 nucleotides) under Phytoplasma sp. Its description in RNAcentral is "bacterial SSU rRNA". It matches the Rfam family "Bacterial small subunit ribosomal RNA", at positions 127 to 1380 of the family's 1533-position model. Lineage: Bacteria; Bacillati; Mycoplasmatota; Mollicutes; Acholeplasmatales; Acholeplasmataceae. The record is from RNAcentral. RNAcentral also lists the same sequence under 3 other names.
UACCCUAAAGACGAGGAUAACCAUUGGAAACAGUGGCUAAGACUGGAUAGGAAGAUAAAAGGCAUCUUUUAUCUUUUAAAAGACCUAGUAAUAGGUAUGCUUUAGGAGGGGCUUGCGCCAUAUUAGUUAGUUGGUAGGGUAAUGGCCUACCAAGACGAUGAUGUGUAGCUGGACUGAGAGGUUGAACAGCCACAUUGGGACUGAGACACGGCCCAAACUCCUACGGGAGGCAGCAGUAGGGAAUUUUCGGCAAUGGAGGAAACUCUGACCGAGCAACGCCGCGUGAAUGACGAAGUACUUCGGUAUGUAAAGUUCUUUUAUCAAGGAAGAAAAGCAAAUGGCGAACCAUUUGUUUGCCGGUACUUGAUGAAUAAGCCCCGGCUAAUUAUGUGCCAGCAGCCGCGGUAAGACAUAAGGGGCAAGUGUUAUCCGGAAUUAUUGGGCGUAAAGGGUGCGUAGGCGGUCUAGUAAGUCAGUGGUGUAAUGGCAACGCUUAACGUUGUCCGGCUAUUGAAACUGCUAAACUUGAGUUAGAUAGAGGCGAGUGGAAUUCCAUGUGUAGCGGUAAAAUGCGUAAAUAUAUGGAGGAACACCAGAGGCGUAGGCGGCUCGCUGGGUCUUAACUGACGCUGAGGCACGAAAGCGUGGGGAGCAAACAGGAUUAGAUACCCUGGUAGUCCACGCCGUAAACGAUGAGUACUAAGUGUCGGGUUAAACCGGUACUGAAGUUAACACAUUAAGUACUCCGCCUGAGUAGUACGUACGCAAGUAUGAAACUUAAAGGAAUUGACGGGACUCCGCACAAGCGGUGGAUCAUGUUGUUUAAUUCGAAGAUACCCGAAAAACCUUACCAGGUCUUGACAUGUUUUUGCAAAAUGAUAGUAAUAUCGUGGAGGUUACCAGAAACACAGGUGGUGCAUGGUUGUCGUCAGCUCGUGUCGUGAGAUGUUAGGUUAAGUCCUAAAACGAGCGAAACCCUUAUCGUUAGUUGCCAGCACGUUAUGGUGGGGACUUUAACGAGACUGCCAAUGAUAAAUUGGAGGAAGGUGAGGAUCACGUCAAAUCAGCAUGCCCCUUAUGACCUGGGCUACAAACGUGAUACAAUGGCUGUUACAAAGGGUAGCUGAAACGCAAGUUCUUGGCCAAUCCCCAAAAACAGUCCCAGUCCGGAUUGAAGUCUGCAACUCGACUUCAUGAAGUUGGAAUCGCUAGUAAUCGCGAAUCAGCAUGUCGCGGUGAAUACGUUCUCGGGGU